AAUUUUGGACAAUGGGCGAAAGCCUGAUCCAGCAACGCCGCGUGCGCGAUGAAGGCCUUCGGGUUGUAAAGCGCUUUUAGAGGAGAUGAGAAAGUACAGUAUCCUCUGAAUAAGCCUCGGCGAACUACGUGCCAGCAGCCGCGGUAAAACGUAGGAGGCUAGCGUUAUCCGGAUUUAUUGGGCGUAAAGCGUGUGCAGGCGGUUAUGCAAGUUGGAUGUGAAAGCUCCUGGCUUAACUGGGAGAGGUCGUUCAAAACUGCAUGGCUAGAGAAUGGGAGAGGGAGGUGGAAUUCCGGGUGUAGUGGUGAAAUGCGUAGAUAUCCGGAGGAACACCAGUGGCGAAAGCGGCCUCCUGGACCAUUUCUGACGCUCAGACACGAAAGCUAGGGUAGCAAACGG
This 399-nucleotide ribosomal RNA is filed under the name uncultured bacterium. Its description in RNAcentral is "bacterial SSU rRNA". It matches the Rfam family "Bacterial small subunit ribosomal RNA", at positions 360 to 775 of the family's 1533-position model. The record is from RNAcentral.